This 857-nucleotide ribosomal RNA is filed under the name uncultured archaeon. Its description in RNAcentral is "bacterial SSU rRNA". It matches the Rfam family "Archaeal small subunit ribosomal RNA", at positions 70 to 928 of the family's 1478-position model. The record is from RNAcentral.
AGCAAUACAUGGCGUACUGCUCAGUAACACGUGGACAACCUACCCUUAGGAUGGGGAUAAACCCGGGAAACUGGGUAUAAUACCCGAUAGUCCUCGAACGCUGGAAUGCAUCGAGGACUAAAGCUCCGGCGCCUAAGGAUGGGUCUGCGGCCUAUCAGGUAGUAGUGGGUGUAGCGUACCUACUAGCCUACGACGGGUACGGGUUGUGAGAGCAAGAACCCGGAGAUGGAUUCUGAGACACGAAUCCAGGCCCUACGGGGUGCAGCAGGCGCGAAAACUUUACAAUGCUGGAAACAGCGAUAAGGGGACCUCGAGUGCCAGGUUACAAAUCUGGCUGUCGUGAUGCCUAAAAAGCAUUGCAUAGCAAGGGCCGGGCAAGACCGGUGCCAGCCGCCGCGGUAACACCGGCGGCCCGAGUGGUAACCGUUAUUAUUGGGUCUAAAGGGUCUGUAGCCGGCCGGAUAAGUCUCUUGGGAAAUCUGGCAGCUUAACUGUCAGGCUUUCAGGAGAUACUGUCUGGCUCGAGGCCGGGAGAGGUGAGAGGUACUUCAGGGGUAGGGGUGAAAUCUUGUAGUCCUUGAAGGACCACCAGUGGCGAAGGCGUCUCACCAGAACGGACCUGACGGCAAGGGACGAAAGCUAGGGGCACGAACCGGAUUAGAUACCCGGGUAGUCCUAGCCGUAAACGAUACUCGCUAGGUGUCGGCAACGGUGCGACCGUUGUCGGUGCCGUAGGGAAGCCGUGAAGCGAGCCACCUGGGAAGUACGGCCGCAAGGCUGAAACUUAAAGGAAUUGGCAGGGGAGCACCACAACGGGUGGAGCUUGCGGUUUAAUUGGAGUCAACGCCGGAAAGGGC